This 387-nucleotide unclassified non-coding RNA is filed under the name soil metagenome. RNAcentral's name for it is "partial contains 5.8S ribosomal RNA, internal transcribed spacer 2, and large subunit ribosomal RNA". The stretch from base 1 to 120 matches the Rfam family "5.8S ribosomal RNA", at positions 35 to 154 of the family's 154-position model. The record is from RNAcentral.
GAUGAAGAACGUAGCGAAAUGUGAUAAGUAAUGUGAAUUGCAGAAUUCAGUGAAUCAUCGAAUCUUUGAACGCACCUUGCACCCUUUGGUAUUCCGAAGGGUAUGCUCGUUUGAGUGUCAUUGUACUCUCACACUUCUAAUUCCUUUCGGGAUUGGGAGCGGUGGACUUGGGUGUUGCUGCUUUAGUUGUGGCUCACCUCAAAUAAGUUAGUGCAACUCUUGGUUGGACAUAGUACGGCGUGAUAAGUGUCUUCGCCGGCGCCUCUGUAAGGAGGGUGGCCGAUCGGGAGCUCUGUGCUUCAAACCGUCUUCGGACAAUCUUUGACAACUUGACCUCAAAUCGAGUAGGACUACCCGCUGAACUUAAGCAUAUCAAUAAGCGGAGGA